GACGAACCGUGCGAACGUUGUUCGGAAUCACUGGGCUUAAAGGGCGCGUAGGCGGGCUCGCCAGUCAGGGGUGAAAGCCCCCAGCUCAACUGGGGAAGUGCCUUUGAUACUGCGAGUCUCGAGGGAGGUAGGGGCGUGCGGAACUUCCGGUGGAGCGGUGAAAUGCGUAGAUAUCGGAAGGAACACCGGUGGCGAAAGCGGCGCGCUGGACCUCUUCUGACGCUGAGGCGCGAAAGCCAGGGGAGCAAACGGG
RNAcentral lists this ribosomal RNA (253 nucleotides) under uncultured bacterium. RNAcentral describes it as "partial 16S ribosomal RNA". It matches the Rfam family "Bacterial small subunit ribosomal RNA", at positions 524 to 776 of the family's 1533-position model. The record is from RNAcentral.